Aquila chrysaetos chrysaetos is the source of this 3965-nucleotide long non-coding RNA. RefSeq lists it as uncharacterized. The transcript is spliced from 2 exons. The record is from RefSeq and is a predicted model, not a curated record. Lineage: Eukaryota; Metazoa; Chordata; Aves; Accipitriformes; Accipitridae.
UGUGCUGGCUGGACCAACGCUGGACCCAGGACUGACAGAACUGAAGCAUGAUUUCAACCGCUGUGAUGCCAUUGCUGAAUGAAGCAGUCCAAAAAUCCCAUCUUCUCAUCCUUCCUCCAGAAUAAUGCCUGACCUACUGUUUGGCCAAGCUGUGGUAUAGUCUUGUCUGUAAAUCAGCUUUGCUGACCCACAUUGUAUCUGAGCACUGAAACCACUAAUCUAAAUCUUACCUUUAAGCUUUCUGUUGUUUUACUUAAGGCAGCAGCCAGGCUUACUUUAAUGAACUGCUUUGAUCCCACUCUGGAUCUAAAGCAAGUAAGGAAUGAUACAGUAGUCUCUUGUGCAUAAUUCUGACAUAAUAAUCUUUCACACAGCCGUCAUGUGGACACCAGAAUUAUUACAACCCUGUUGGGAUAGAGGCAAGAAAUACAGAAAUGGAGAGAGAGAUUCAGACCUUAUUGCUAAAAAUUCAUAGUUAUCCAAUGAAGCUUUCCUUAAGGCCUCAAAUACCCACUUCUCUGAAACUCUGUUCCCAGCAUCACUCAUACACAUUAUGUGCAAGGCUGGGUGCUGAUAAGUAUUUGUUUUCUUACGCUCCUUUCAAUUCAUGCUACAAACAUUUGAAUUUAGCAGUAGUAAUACUUGCUGCAGUUCUGGCAAUUGCAAAGUUACUGCUAUUGAAUUCCAUCUUGGUUUAUAAUCUUUAGUUGUUAUAACUUAUGUUACAUGAUUUAAGAGUAGCUUUGACAAUUUUUAAUAUUUCAGUUCCCCACCUCUAGCGGGACUGCCUUCAUUAAAAGCCCUUCAGUGAAUCUCUCAAGUCCAUAUAUAAAUUAAAUGGCCAACAGUCUCAGCUGGGAAGGUGUCAGUUCCUGUUCCAGAAACUCAGAUAUUACAUAUCAUAUUUUGUCACUUGCUAUUGCUUGUCAGCAGGAAGCAGUAAAUCAGGAAUCUUACCAUCUGGGGACAAAAUCAGCACAAGUAUCAUAGCUGCAGAGCUAAAACAGCAAUAGCAAUGUGAGGAUUAAUACCCAUUUAACAAAACAAUGACUAAUUAUGGUGAAAUGCAAUCUUAUCAUCCAUUGCUACACAUUAAGAAAGCACUUCACCAAAUUUGCUGGCAGCCUGGAGUGGCUUGUUACCUAUUGAUGGCAAAUGUUCAGGACACUCCUCAGUUGAAAUGAAUCCUCUGUCUUUUCAGACUAAUCCUUCGUGACAAGCAAGGCAAUCAGUAAACAAUUGAAUAUCCUUAAAGACAAACACUAGUAAUAAAAAUAAGUGAACUAGAAACCCCUACGUGAUGGUUGAAAGCACUUUGGGAUUUUGAGAGCUGGCUGAUCUGCUGUACGCAUAGAUUCUGCAAGUCUUUAUUGUAUGCACAGCUCCUCCCAAAUUUGCCCUGUAGCAAAAUCAUAUGAUCUGUGCCACAACCAGAAUAGAAUCUACAGUAACUAAAAAUAAACUGUUUCUCUGCAAAUUCAUGGCUCAGUUUCGUCCAGCUCAUAAAUAACUUUUCAGCGUUGGUCAGCAAACACAGAUCCUUAUGGUUAUCACAACGUGCAUGACCUCAUUAAGUGUCAUAUGGGUGGGCAACGUUAGUCUUCAAGUCUUCAAAUACUUGCAACACGUGGCUUUGGUCCCAGAUGUUUGUUUAGUAAGUCAGGAGUUCUCUCACCAGCUUAUAUUACACACAUUUGUAUAUCUCAACAAUAGAACCAUCUGACCCAGCUGCUUUGCUACUUGCUUGAUAGCUUUCAGUACUUCAGAGGAACCUGGCAAUACUGGGUGACAAAUUUAUUACCAGAAGCUGCUUACACUUCUGUAGCACUAAUUCUGUUAUACAUGAAUGGUGGGAAAGCUUAUUAAUCACCACCUUUCCAGUAUCUCUGCAUGACCAAUAAUAACAUCUACCCUAAAGCUAGAAAUGGCUCUGCCUACCUGCAGGUCAGACAAAGCUAACAGCACAAUGAACGUUAAAGUUUCUUUAAUCAGCAUGUGAUUGACACUACUUUAUUUGUCCAGCAGUUCUUAUUCAUUAAAUCAAAUUUAAAUUACAGUCUUCUUUUUUUUUAAACAUAAAACUGCUUCUGACUGAGUUCAAAUUAGAUUUUAAGUUACAUGAACUUAUUUGAGGCUUUUUCCUAUUAGAAUAAUAUUUUCAGGCUAACAGCAAAAACUUAAGCUUUGUAAUCAUCUAUGUUUUACUUUUUACAUACUUGUUUUUGGAAACAUUUACCAUAAGCUUGCCUUAUUUUAAAUUUUAGAAGAAACAGACAGUGGGCUAUCUCUACAGGACUUUUACAAGACAAGAUCUGUUCAUCUCUCUGAUCUCUGCAUGAAAAGGGAAAUGAUCUCAUUCAGCAAGCAUAGUAUUUUGACAAAUGUUGGGGAUUUUAGAGCCUUCCCUGUAAAAUGAGUUGUUAUUGCUUUUAGAAAGGACUUUUUAGUUACUAAAGAAUGUCUUAAGAGUUGUUGCUUGCUUUCUACCAGGAAAUAAUCAAACUAGUAUGGGUCAAUAAAGAGUAUAGGUAUCUUAAUUUCAAAUAAAAAAAAUAUUUGUACAAGUUGCUUAUGUCUCUAAUAAAAAUAACAUAGUUUUAGAAAUUUCCUUGCUUCAAGAAUGAAAGCAAAAAUAUUAUUCUUAUUAUUGGCAUGUAGCAAUUGUGCUGCUUUGACAGAUGUUUCUCAGAAUUAUUUCUGAUUUGUUCCCAGAUGAACAUAGUUCUAGGUCAUAGAUUUAAACUCAGUUAAGAAAAAAAACUGCAAAGAAUUUUAUGUUUGAUAGUUUGUACAAGUGGUAAUAAGUGGUUCAUAUCCUAGCAAAAGAAAUUCAGCUUCCUCAAAAGGAAACCAAGCAAACUCAAGUAACUUUAAUUACAAAAUCAGCGUCCAAGAAGAAGGAUUGUUAGCAUUAGGCUACAGAUAUGUACUAUUUUACAUUACUAUUUUAUUUAUCGCACAACUAAGCAAUUUUAUCACACACACAAUAUACCACGAUCUUUAAAUAUUUGUCUCAAGGAUUCAGACAUAAUGUGACUUGUCCACAAGAUGGCAUACACUGUGUCCAAAAGGAACUGACACAGCAGAAUGCAUUGCAACAUCUAUGGGACAAAAAGGCUUCUACAUAAUUAUUCUUCAUUUUGUUAUCUUUCUAGACAAGCACAGAAGAAAAUCUGUCUGUAAUGGUUUUCAUGAUUUGGUUAUAUAAUCUAAAAAUCUGCUUGCUUCAGAGGUAAGCAGAAACUUCACUUCACAUGGAAAACAGAAAGUGUCUGUCAUCCAGGGGAACCACUUUUUCUCUGUGACUUCAGGUGGCUGUAACCAAGUCAAGUCAUACACAAGAAGCAAAGGCAUUGUAGUGAGAAGGAUGAUAACCUUGCCAAACAUCUGUUUUUACCAGUGUCUAUCUCACUGCCUAGGAGAAGCAGGCAAGAGUGGAAAGAGAAAAGAGCUUAGGGUCCUGCUGAAAGUACUGACCAAAUCCCCCAAAACUCAAAAUGAAGACAACAAUGCUUCAUAGGAAGAUGAAACUAAGAACAGUCUAGAGAAUUUAUCCUUACAUACCUGAUAACCAAAAAGGCAUCAAAUUCUCAGGGCUCUCAGGAGGUCUGUUCAGAUUAAAAAAGAAAACAAAAUACAACCCCCCCACCCCGCAUCCUGCCACAGAUGCUGCCAGAAAUAGAAACAUUAAAGGAAUACAACCGACCCAUCUGUCCCCUUUGGAUCUCGUAGUUAUAUUGGACUAUACUUUUUGAAAUAAAGUUCGCGCAGAGAGGUAACAUUCUUCUAUUAGACUCACCUAUGAAGCUCAUCUUCAGAUGAGGUCCUAUGUGCCUUAAAGGUCCUAUGUGACAUAAACUUUGUUUAUGGCAGCUUAAUAAAAGGACUUACCACUCUGCAAACUUGACCUUGUUUUCAUCUGUCAUAACUUUAGCAUUACUAUAGAGACAGCACUGCACUUUUUU